RNAcentral lists this ribosomal RNA (245 nucleotides) under uncultured bacterium. Its description in RNAcentral is "partial 16S ribosomal RNA". It matches the Rfam family "Bacterial small subunit ribosomal RNA", at positions 524 to 768 of the family's 1533-position model. The record is from RNAcentral.
AACGUAGGUGGCAAGCGUUAUCCGGAUUCACUGGGCGUAAAGCGCGUGCAGGUGGCUUCGUAAGUUGGACGUUAAAUCUCCCGGCCUAACCGGGAGGAGUCGUUCAAUACUGCGGGGCUGGAGGGCAGAAGAGGGGGGUGGAAUUGCUGGUGUAGUGGUGAAAUGCGUAGAUAUCAGCAGGAACACCUGUGGCGAAAGCGGCCCCCUGGUCUGCUCCUGACACUCAGACGCGAAAGCUAGGGGAG